RNAcentral lists this unclassified non-coding RNA (1886 nucleotides) under Owenia fusiformis. RNAcentral's name for it is "tubulin alpha chain". The record is from RNAcentral. Lineage: Eukaryota; Metazoa; Annelida; Polychaeta; Sabellida; Oweniidae.
UAAGACAUAAAUAAAAGGACAAGCUUUCUGCUGCAAGUUUAGAGGUGCAUAAAACCAUCAUACAUCAAAAUGAGGGAAUGUAUCUCUAUCCACAUUGGGCAGGCUGGUGUCCAAAUGGGCAAUGCCUGCUGGGAGCUAUACUGCCUUGAGCAUGGAAUCGAGCCUGAUGGUCAAAUGCCAAGUGACAGCACUGUUAAUAGCGAAAAUGAUGCAUUCAACACGUUCUUUAGUGAGACAGAUUCAGGGAAGCAUGUCCCAAGAGCUCUUUUUGUGGACUUGGAACCAUCUGUUAUUGAUGAGAUCAGAACGGGUACAUACAAACAGCUGUUUAAACCUGACCAGCUAGUCUCAGGUAAAGAGGAUGCUGCAAAUAACUAUGCUAGAGGUUUCUACACAGUUGGCAGAGCAUUAAUGGAUGAUGUAACAGAUCGUAUUCGGAAACUCACUGAUAAUUGCUCUAGUGUUCAAGGCUUCCUGAUCUUUAAUUCAGUUGGUGGAGGCACUGGCUCUGGAUUCACAUCAAGGUUGGCGGAAAGUCUUUCUCGUGAUUAUUCAGGAAAAGCUAAGCUGGGGUUUAGCAUCUUUCCUGCCCCUCAGAUAUCAACAGCAGUUGUGGAGCCUUACAACUCUAUUCUGACAACAUAUGCUUCCUCAGAACACUCCGAUGUUGCUUGUUUGUUUGAUAAUGAGGCACUCUUUAAUAUCUGUCAACGUAACUUAGGUGUUGAUCGGCCAUCCUACAGCACCCUGAAUCGUCUCAUUUGCCAAAUUGUCAGCUCUCUCACGGCCUCUCUUCGUUUUGAUGGGGCCUUAAAUGUUGAUAUGGUUGAGUUCCAGACAAAUUUGGUGCCCUACCCACGCAUCCAUCAUAUGGUGACUUCCUAUGCUCCUCUUAUGUCUGCUGAGAAGGCCUACCAUGAGCAGGUUUCAGUUGAUGAGAUUACCAAGGCUGCCUUUGCACAAGAAAACCAGAUGGUGCAUUGCGAGCUCAAAAAAGGAAAAUACAUGGCUGUCUGUAUGAUGUAUCGAGGUGAUGUUGUGCCCAAGGAUGUCAAUGCUGCAGUUGCUAAAAUCAAGACGGAUCGUAGAGUCGAGUUUGUGGAUUGGUGUCCCACUGGGUUUAAGUGUGGCAUCAACUACCAGCCACCUACUGUUGUCGCUGGAAGUGACCAAGCCAAAGUGAAGCGUGCAGUCUGCUCAAUAGCCAACACAAGCGCGAUUGCUCAGUCAUUUGCAAGGCUUAACCACAAGUUUGACCUCAUGUAUGCUAAACGUGCAUUUGUCCAUUGGUAUGUGGGAGAGGGUAUGGAAGAAGGAGAGUUUUCUGAGGCACGUGAGGAUCUGGCUGCCUUAGAGAAAGACUAUGAGGAGGCUGGAGGAGACAGUGUUGAAGGAGAAGGUGAUGAGGAGGGAGCAGAAUAUUAAACAUUUAACCAUGCUAUAAUCUCAAAUGAUAGUAGACUAUAACUUAACUCUGUUGACAAUAUCCAUAAUAAUGUAAAUGUAGAGCACAAUGUUUGGUGUUAUUCACUUAAAUUCAGUUUUACUUGGUGAAAUAUCAAAAAUGUUAGUUCUACCAUUAUAAUUAAGAAUAUGUCUGUGAAUGAUUAAUAAGAAUGUGUUUGUAUUCAAUAAUUAAGAAUGUGUUUGUAAACAAUAAUAAAGAAUGUAGUAAACAAUUUUCAAGAAAGUGUUAGGAAAGUGUUAGGAAACAAUUAUUUAUUAUAAUUAACUGUCUAGAAAACUACAUAAAACAUAUCAUUUCUCCAUGAAAUUAAUACACAAAGUAGUUAGGUUGUUGGUCUUUAUUACUGGAAAGUUUAAAGUAAUUUUAUCAAAAACCAACAAAAUUAGAGAAGGACGUCCAAGACUUUUGGAUCACCCCU